GGCCGCGCCUCACGCGGGCCGCGGCGGGACGGGCGUUGCGGCCAACGGGACGCAAGGGCUGAGCAGCGAGCUCGCCGCUUUGCUCUUGCAAAAUGUAGGGUCACAGCCCCCGAAAGAGCCGAGGGCCGCUCCCCGCUCUGUGGCCCGAGUUCAAUUCUUAAGUCCUAAUCUUGGUGGCCAGGCUGGUCUUCACGUUGCCGUCAACAGGAGUCGGGAGUACACAGACGUGACUGCAACACAGAAGUAUCUUUUCAAGUCCCAGAAGAAAGAAUCCUCUGUGCGAAUAAAUUCUCAGAAGCAGAAGUUGUGCAACGAAAAUAAUUAUCUCAGGACAUUUUGAAGGGUGAAUUUUCUGGUAAGUCUGUCAUGCUGAUGUGUUCCCUGAAAAGAAGCACCAAGAAGCAUCUCAGCA
RNAcentral lists this long non-coding RNA (412 nucleotides) under Taeniopygia guttata (zebra finch). RNAcentral describes it as "lncRNA (ENSTGUG00000019962.1)". Lineage: Eukaryota; Metazoa; Chordata; Aves; Passeriformes; Estrildidae. The record is from RNAcentral.